AUCAUGCUUUUAGCUGUUGAAUGAUAUCUUCUUCAUGCCAAAUGGAUAAAAAAUGAGCAAAUACGAAUCCGAUAAAAAAUGUUAGUCAGAAUCACAUAUUUUCACCGUUGAGAGUUGGGUCUAAAACCAUUGAAAAUGAACCCCCUUUAGGACUUAAGUUGAUGAAUUUCACUUCAUUAAACUGCACACAUAUUCAUAAUAAUUAUUAAGUCGGAAUAAAUCUUAGCUAAGCUACGACACGUUCGUGAUUAAUUGCUUUUUCUUUUGUUAUGCAUUGUUUUAAUUAGGCACAGAGGUGAAAAUAUGCGAUUUUGACUAACAUUUUUAAUCGGCCUCGUACAUGCUUAUUUUUUCUCCACUUGUCAUGAAAAGCAUGUCAUUCAAUAGCUAAAAGCCUGAUCUUUCCGAAUAUGAAAACCAAUUGUUCAUACGCCAAGUAAUUCACGUAUAAUAGCGCGCUGAAGUUCGAUUACCUUUUUUUUUAUACACCCUGUAUAUAUAUAUAUA
Non-coding RNA from Paramuricea clavata, 507 nucleotides. NCBI's taxonomy places the organism in Eukaryota, Metazoa, Cnidaria, Anthozoa, Malacalcyonacea, Plexauridae. The record is from the annotation of a GenBank genome assembly.